RNAcentral lists this ribosomal RNA (508 nucleotides) under uncultured bacterium. RNAcentral's name for it is "bacterial SSU rRNA". It matches the Rfam family "Bacterial small subunit ribosomal RNA", at positions 1 to 507 of the family's 1533-position model. The record is from RNAcentral.
CACGACUACGAGUUUGAUCCUGGCUCAGAUUGAACGCUGGCGGAAUGCUUUACACAUGCAAGUCGAGCGGCAGCGCGGGGCAACCUGGCGGCGAGCGGCGAACGGGUGAGUAAUACAUCGGAACGUACCCAGUUGUGGGGGAUAGCCCGGCGAAAGCCGGAUUAAUACCGCAUACGACCUGAGGGUGAAAGCGGGGGACCGAAAGGCCUCGCGCGAUGGGAGCGGCCGAUGCCGGAUUAGCUAGUUGGUAGGGUAAAGGCCUACCAAGGCGACGAUCCGUAGCUGGUCUGAGAGGACGACCAGCCACACUGGAACUGAGACACGGUCCAGACUCCUACGGGAGGCAGCAGUGGGGAAUUUUGGACAAUGGGCGCAAGCCUGAUCCAGCCAUGCCGCGUGCGGGACGAAGGCCUCGGGUUGUAAACCGCUUUCAGCCGGAAGAAUACGCCAAGGCUAAUAUCCUUGGUGGAUGACGGUACCGGAAGAAGAAGCACCGGCUAACUACGUG